AUUGAACGCUGGCGGCAGGCCUAACACAUGCAAGUCGAACGGUAACAGGGAUCAGCUUGCUGAUUCGCUGACGAGUGGCGGACGGGUGAGUAAUGUCUGGGAAACUGCCUGAUUGAGGGGGAUAACUACUGGAAACGUUAGCUAAUACCGCAUAACGUCGCAAGACCAAAUAGUGGGACCUUCCGGCCUCUUUCCUUCCGAUGUGCCCAGAUGGGAUUAGCUAGUAGGUGGGGUAACGGCUCACCUAGGCGACGAUCCCUAUCUGGUCUGAGAGGAUGACCAGCAACACUGGAACUGAGACACGGUCCAGACUCCUACGGGAGGCAGCAGUGGGGAAUAUUGCACAAAGGGCGCAAGCAUGAUGCAGGCAUGCCGAGUGUAUGAAGAAGGACGUCGGGUUGUAAAGUACUUUCAGCGGGGAGGAAGGGAGUAAAGUUAAUACCUUUGCUGAUUGACGUUACACGAAGAAGAAGCACCGGCUAACUCCGUG
This 490-nucleotide ribosomal RNA is filed under the name uncultured bacterium. RNAcentral describes it as "partial 16S ribosomal RNA". It matches the Rfam family "Bacterial small subunit ribosomal RNA", at positions 30 to 507 of the family's 1533-position model. The record is from RNAcentral.